CAUCCUCUGCGGUGCGCGUCAGUGGGCCAGGAUAAUCCUUGACCCUAACGCGAUCGCCACGGGAGCGCCCGCCUGGUGUCCGUGUGCAGGUCCGCCGCGAGCGGAAAGCCUAACGACGCCUUGGGUCCUCCCACCUGAACCUUUCGGUUCAAGGGCGACGGUCCCGACGGCUCGCGCGGAGGAUGC
RNAcentral lists this non-coding RNA (186 nucleotides) under Gammaproteobacteria bacterium. RNAcentral's name for it is "6S RNA". It matches the Rfam family "6S / SsrS RNA". From Rfam's summary of the family: E. coli 6S RNA was the first non coding RNA to be sequenced, but its function was unknown until recently. It consists of 184 nucleotides that fold into an extended hairpin structure with a large single-stranded internal bulge. The 6S RNA specifically associates with RNA polymerase holoenzyme containing the sigma70 specificity factor. Lineage: Bacteria; Pseudomonadati; Pseudomonadota; Gammaproteobacteria. The record is from RNAcentral.